AUUGAACGCUGGCGGCAUGCCUUACACAUGCAAAUCGAACGGUAACGGGCCUUCGGGUGCCGCCGAGUGGCGAACGGGUGAGUAAUACAUCGGAACGUGCCCGAUCGUGGGGGAUAACGAGGCGAAAGCUUUGCUAAUACCGCAUACGAUCUACGGAUGAAAGCCGGGGACCGCAAGGCCUUGCGCGGACGGAGCGGCCGAUGGCAGAUUAGGUAGUUGGUGGGAUAAAAGCUUACCAAGCCGACGAUCUGUAGCUGGUCUGAGAGGAUGAUCAGCCACACUGGGACUGAGACACGGCCCAGACUCCUACGGGAGGCAGCAGUGGGGAAUUUUGGACAAUGGGCGCAAGCCUGAUCCAGCCAUGCCGCGUGCAGGAUGAAGGCCUUCGGGUUGUAAACUGAUUUUGUACGGAACGAAAAGCCUUCUUUUAAUACAGGAGGGUCAUGACGGUACCGUAAGAAUAAGCACCGGCUAACUACGUG
This 482-nucleotide ribosomal RNA is filed under the name uncultured bacterium. RNAcentral's name for it is "partial 16S ribosomal RNA". It matches the Rfam family "Bacterial small subunit ribosomal RNA", at positions 30 to 507 of the family's 1533-position model. The record is from RNAcentral.